CGGGGCGUAGCGCAGUCUGGUAGCGCACUAUACUGGGGGUGUAGGGGUCGUGGGUUCGAGUCCCGCCGUCCCGACCA
This 77-nucleotide transfer RNA is filed under the name Methylomonas paludis. Its description in RNAcentral is "tRNA-Pro". It matches the Rfam family "tRNA". Rfam says of the family: Transfer RNA (tRNA) molecules are approximately 80 nucleotides in length. Their secondary structure includes four short double-helical elements and three loops (D, anti-codon, and T loops). Further hydrogen bonds mediate the characteristic L-shaped molecular structure. tRNAs have two regions of fundamental functional importance: the anti-codon, which is responsible for specific mRNA codon recognition, and the 3' end, to which the tRNAs corresponding amino acid is attached (by aminoacyl-tRNA synthetases). tRNAs cope with the degeneracy of the genetic code in two manners: having more than one tRNA (with a specific anti-codon) for a particular amino acid; and 'wobble' base-pairing, i.e. permitting non-standard base-pairing at the 3rd anti-codon position. RNAcentral also lists the same sequence under 1 other name. The record is from RNAcentral. Lineage: Bacteria; Pseudomonadati; Pseudomonadota; Gammaproteobacteria; Methylococcales; Methylococcaceae.